Molecule: ribosomal RNA, 255 nt
Filed under: uncultured bacterium
Lineage: Bacteria
Description: partial 16S ribosomal RNA
Rfam family: Bacterial small subunit ribosomal RNA
Source: RNAcentral
AAUACCGCAUACGUCCUACGGGAGAAAGCAGGGGACCUUCGGGCCUUGCGCUAUCAGAUGAGCCUAGGUCGGAUUAGCUAGUUGGUGAGGUAAUGGCUCACCAAGGCGACGAUCCGUUACUGGUCUGAGAGGAUGAUCAGUCACACUGGAACUGAGACACGGUCCAGACUCCUACGGGAGGCAGCAGUGGGGAAUAUUGGACAAUGGGCGAAAGCCUGAUCCAGCCAAGGCGCGUGUGUGAAGAAGGUCUUCGGA